This 119-nucleotide ribosomal RNA is filed under the name Elusimicrobiota bacterium. Lineage: Bacteria; Pseudomonadati; Elusimicrobiota. The record is from RNAcentral.
GCCGGUGGUAAUUCCGGAGAGGCAACACCCGUUCCCAUUCCGAACACGGCAGUUAAGGGCUCCAGGGCCGAUGGUAGUAACGCCCAACUCGGCGUUGUCAGAGUAGGUCGCUGCCGGCC